This 74-nucleotide transfer RNA is filed under the name Thorea hispida. RNAcentral describes it as "tRNA-Val". It matches the Rfam family "tRNA". From Rfam's summary of the family: Transfer RNA (tRNA) molecules are approximately 80 nucleotides in length. The record is from RNAcentral. Lineage: Eukaryota; Rhodophyta; Florideophyceae; Thoreales; Thoreaceae.
GGACAUAUAACUCAAUUUGGUAGAGUAUCAUGUUGACAUCAUGAAAGUUAUUGGUUCAAAUCCGAUUAUGUCCA